CCUACGGGAGGCAGCAGUGAGGAAUAUUGGUCAAUGGGAGAGAUCCUGAACCAGCCAAGCCGCGUGAGGGAAGACGGCCCUAUGGGUUGUAAACCUCUUUUGUCGGAGAACAAAACCCGGGACGUGUCCCGGACUGCGUGUAUCCGCAGAAAAAGCACCGGCUAACUCCGUGCCAGCAGCCGCGGUAAUACGGAGGAUGCGAGCGUUAUCCGGAUUUAUUGGGUUUAAAGGGUGCGUAGGCGGUCCGUUAAGUCAGCGGUAAAAUUGCGGGGCUCAACCCCGUCGAGCCGUUGAAACUGGCAGACUGGAGUGGGCGAGAAGUACGCGGAAUGCGCGGUGUAGCGGUGAAAUGCAUAGAUAUCGCGCAGAACUCCGAUUGCGAAGGCAGCGUACCGGCGCCAGACUGACGCUGAGGCACGAAAGCGUGGGGAUCGAACAGGAUUAGAUACCCUUGUAGUC
RNAcentral lists this ribosomal RNA (459 nucleotides) under uncultured bacterium. RNAcentral's name for it is "partial 16S ribosomal RNA". It matches the Rfam family "Bacterial small subunit ribosomal RNA", at positions 338 to 795 of the family's 1533-position model. The record is from RNAcentral.